This 735-nucleotide long non-coding RNA is filed under the name Daucus carota (carrot). RNAcentral's name for it is "long non-coding RNA (DCAR_LNC002467)". Lineage: Eukaryota; Viridiplantae; Streptophyta; Magnoliopsida; Apiales; Apiaceae. The record is from RNAcentral.
AGGGCUGAGCAAAACCGAACCGAAACCGUAAAACCGAACCGAAUUGUAAAAUUUCGGUUCGGUUCGGUUUCAAUUUUUUCAAAAUUUCGGUUAAUUCGGUUUUUCGGGUUGAACCGAAAAUAAUUUCGGUUCGGUUCGGUUUUUGAGAUAACAUUUCGGUUUAAACCGAAAAAACCGAACUUUUUAUUAUAUAAAAAAUUAAUAUAUUUUAUAGACAGUUGUAACAUUACUGGGUAACCUAAAUACCUAAUAUCUUAAUUAUUCAAGCAUCUCACUGAGUCCACUCGAGCCCCGAUUUCAAUCUUCGAGCAUCAGCUGCGAUCCCAGAUUCCUCUUGGACUUGUAUUCCUCUUAGAUCUGAGAUACCAUUUUCUAUGUACAGGUAAUGUGUGUGUUUUUGUUCGAUUGCUUAUUUGGGAAUAGUUGGUGAUUAAGUCCUGGGUUGCAAAUGUUUAACUGGGAGGUUUCUUAUGUUAAGUCAAGUUUGUGGUGAUGGAUGCGAUACCAGGAAGGGACCAAGAUCAAGAAGAUUAUAUAAUCACUGGCUUCUCACUGUUGAUUUUUUGAAAAUUUCGGUUUUUUAAGCUAAAACCGAAACCGAACCGAAAUAAUUCGGUUAAUUCGGUUCGGUUUUGAAUAAUAAUUCGGUCCGGUUCGGUUUCGAAAAAAACAAUAAUUCGGUUUUCGGUUUUUUCGGUUCGGUUCGGUUUUGAACCGAACCGACCGAAUGCUCAG